This 58-nucleotide transfer RNA is filed under the name Myotis lucifugus (little brown bat). The record is from Rfam by way of RNAcentral. Lineage: Eukaryota; Metazoa; Chordata; Mammalia; Chiroptera; Vespertilionidae.
UGGCUCAGUGGAUAGAGCGUCAGUCUGCGGACUGAAGAGUACCGGGUUUGAUUCCGGU